GUCCAGACUCCUACGGGAGGCAGCAGUGAGGAAUAUUGGUCAAUGGGCGCGAGCCUGAACCAGCCAAGUCGCGUGAGGGAUGAAGGAUCUAUGGUUCGUAAACCUCUUUUAUAAGGGAAUAAAGUGCGGGACGCGUCCCGCUUCGCAUGUACCUUAUGAAUAAGGAUCGGCUAACUCCGUGCCAGCAGCCGCGGUAAUACGGAGGAUGCGAGCGUUAUCCGGAUUUAUUGGGUUUAAAGGGUGCGUAGGCGGUAUUUUAAGUUAGUGGUAAAACGUCGGGGCUUCACCUUGAUUGGCCAUUAAAACUGGAGUACUAGAGUACAGACGAGGUAGGCGGAAUAAGUUAAGUAGCGGUGAAAUGCUUAGAUAUAACUUAGAACCCCGAUAGCGAAGGCAGCUUACCAGACUGUUACUGACGCUGAAGCACGAGAGCGUGGGUAGCGAACAGGAUUAGAUACCCUAGUA
Molecule: ribosomal RNA, 465 nt
Filed under: uncultured bacterium
Lineage: Bacteria
Description: bacterial SSU rRNA
Rfam family: Bacterial small subunit ribosomal RNA
Source: RNAcentral